GGAACAAAUGUGCCCCAACAUUCUAGUCGGACCCUUUAACUCAAACCUUUAGAGUGUUACACCGCGUGAGGCUGGCUGACACAUGGCUGAAGCCGAACGAUUCCAACCUACCAAUUACCUGACGAGAGGAAGAAGCAAGAACCACGAAGAAUUAAAGAAACACUUCCAUGAUGCUGCAGGCAGCACGGGAUACAUUUCUUGGCAUCUGAAAGCAAUCCAACGCAAGAUUUGUCGAGGAUCUGCACCAUCACCAAAUAGCCCUAUGGACACUUCUCCCAAAUGUCCAGCGAGCUGUUAAUGUACAAAGACAGCUGGAUGGGGAUGCUUGCCAAGGGGUUAUGUCUUUGCUCAACCAUACCACAGACAAUUCCCUGAUUUUUCAGAAAAUGAGAGAAACCUUUCAGCACCGUCAGACGCUUGUUAAUGACCCAAGCAGAGGUGUUGAUAUCCUCUCCACCAUCCCAAGAUUCCUGGAUACCAAAGGAUUGGUGGAUCAAGACUUCACUCUCCUAUUUGAUCAUGAAACAUCCUCCAGGCUCCUUCAGAAAUGGGAUGUGUUCUUCAGUCCAAAUGUCAUGAAAGAGGCUAAGUGGCUUACUUCAGCACCCAGAGUUGCGUCGCUUGUUGCAGAGAGUCCCACAGGAAGUGAUCUUGAUGAGACAACAAUCAUGCUGCAGUUUAGAGGAGCAUCUCCGCAACCAGCAGGGUCGGCAGCCAUACCUCCUCGCUGUUGGGCAUCAGAAGAGCAAGAUUGACAGCUUCUACAUCUCCAUGGAUGAGCAUCUCAUCCCACGCCAGGCAAACCGCUCCCUACCUUGGGGCUUUGGACGAACUUUCCAAAACCCAUUUUGUGUUUAAUUUGUCGUACGAUGCUGCGUUACUGAAUUUUUACACAUUCUUGCGGACAACAGUGUAUAACAUUCAUGUGGGGAAAAUGAAGGAGUCACCCAGAGCCAGAUUGCUUGACCAGCUAGUACCGGUCUCACUCUCUGAGUAAGAGGCUAAAACAAUACUGACCGGUUUCGUGUGUCAGAAUGUGUAUCCCAGCAGCCAGAAGUUGAUGGUGUUAUACUGGAACCGUUGAUAAAUUAUAUAAAAUUACUGAAAACCCAAGGCCUUAGUCUUAGUAGUGUUUGAUUGAGAGGAAUGAUUCUCAAACAGUAUACUGUGAGGAAGAUCCCAAAGUGAUCCUUCGUGGAAAACAUAUGUUUGAUAUGCAUUACAAAUGUCUCCAAGACAACCCACAAUUGAACUCCUUGCAUGGUUUGAAAAAGACUUCUACACUUAACUCAUUGAAUUAUUUCCAUGUUUGAAAUAAUUACUAAUUUGAUAUAAUGCAUGACCUUCUUGAGGGUGUGACUCAGUGUGAGAUCAAAUUGCUUUUUGAAUAUCUCACAAAAGACUUAAUAUCACAACAGAACUUGCUUUCCAGGAUUUAUGGUGUUGACUACGGAUUUGUAAAACGAAAGAAAUGUCCCACAAAGAUAAUUUUGGACAGUGCUGGGAGUUAAUUCAACACAGGACUUUUUGCAAGGUCCAGGGUGUGGUUUAAACGGUGAGUUGGUUUAUGUACAUCCUGACUGAACCCAAU
Cottoperca gobio is the source of this 1591-nucleotide long non-coding RNA. RefSeq lists it as uncharacterized. The record is from RefSeq and is a predicted model, not a curated record. The transcript has 4 exons. Lineage: Eukaryota; Metazoa; Chordata; Actinopteri; Perciformes; Bovichtidae.